UCCGGUUUUUCACCGGCAGUCCCUUUAGAGUGCUCAGCGUAACCUGGUGGCAACUAAACACAAGGGUUGCGCUCGUUGCGGCACUUAAGCCAACAUCUCACGACACGAGCUGACGACAACCAUGCAGCACCUGUGCUGGCUCUCCUCUUGCGAGGAGUCGUCCCCGUUUCUGGGUUCUACCACCAGCAUGUCAAGGCCAGGUAAGGUUCUUCGCGUUGCAUCGAAUUAAGCCACAUGCUCCACCGCUUGUGCGGGCCCCCGUCAAUUUCUUUGAGUUUUAACCUUGCGGCCGUACUCCCCAGGCGGAGAGCUUAAUGCGUUAGCUGCGUCACCGACACGCAUGCGUGCCGACAACUAGCUCUCAUCGUUUACAGCGUGGACUAC
This 384-nucleotide unclassified non-coding RNA is filed under the name uncultured bacterium. RNAcentral's name for it is "contains 16S-23S intergenic spacer region". The record is from RNAcentral.